AACGAACGCUGGCGGCAUGCCUAACACAUGCAAGUCGAACGAGACCUUCGGGUCUAGUGGCGCACGGGUGCGUAACGCGUGGGAACCUUCCCUUAGGUUCGGAAUAACUCCCCGAAAGGGGUGCUAAUACCGGAUAUUUUCUUCGGACCAAAGAUUUAUCGCCUUUGGAUGGGCCCGCGUUGGAUUAGCUAGUUGGUAGGGUAAAAGCCUACCAAGGCGACGAUCCAUAGCUGGUCUGAGAGGAUGAUCAGCCACACUGGGACUGAGACACGGCCCAGAAUCAUACGGGAGGCAGCAGUGGGGAAUAGUGGAAAAUGGGCGAAAGCCUGAUACAGCAAUGCCGCGUGAGUGAUGAAGGCCUUAGGGUUGUAAAGCUCUUUUACCCGGGAUGAUAAUGACAGUACCGGGAGAAUAAGCGCCGGCUAACUCCGUG
This 433-nucleotide ribosomal RNA is filed under the name uncultured bacterium. RNAcentral describes it as "partial 16S ribosomal RNA". It matches the Rfam family "Bacterial small subunit ribosomal RNA", at positions 29 to 507 of the family's 1533-position model. The record is from RNAcentral.